This 515-nucleotide ribosomal RNA is filed under the name uncultured archaeon. RNAcentral's name for it is "bacterial SSU rRNA". It matches the Rfam family "Archaeal small subunit ribosomal RNA", at positions 345 to 859 of the family's 1478-position model. The record is from RNAcentral.
AACCUUUACACUGCACGACAGUGCGAUAAGGGAAUCCCAAGUGCGUAGGCAUAGAGCCUACGCUUUUGUCCACCGUAGGGAGGUGGACGAAUAAGGGCUGGGCAAGACCGGUGCCAGCCGCCGCGGUAAUACCGGCAGCCCGAGUGAUGGCCGAUCUUAUUGGGCCUAAAGCGUCCGUAGCUGGCCGCGCAAGUCUAUCGGAAAAUCCACCCGCUCAACGGGUGGGCGUCCGGUAGAAACUGCGUGGCUUGGGACCGGAAGGCGCGACGGGUACGUCCGGGGUAGGAGUGAAAUCCCGUAAUCCUGGACGGACCGCCGAUGGCGAAAGCACGUCGCGAAGACGGAUCCGACAGUGAGGGACGAAAGCUAGGGUCUCGAACCGGAUUAGAUACCCGGGUAGUCCUAGCCGUAAACAAUGCCUGCUAGGUGUGGCUCCCACUACGAGUGGGUGCUGUGCCGUAGGGCAGCCGCUAAGCAGGCCGCCUGGGAAGUACGUCCGCCAGGAUGAAACUUAA